AGAGUUUGAUCAUGGCUCAGGACGAACGCUGGCGGCGUGCUUAACACAUGCAAGUCGACGAGAUGCCUUCGGGUGUCUAGUGGCGAACGGGUGAGUAACACGUGACAACCUGCCCCUGGCUCUGGGAUAGCCUCCGGAAACGGGGAUUAAUACCGGACAUGACNNNNNUCGCAUGAGGGGGGGUGGAAAGUUUUUCGGCUGGGGAGGGGCUCGCGGCCUAUCAGCUUGUUGGGGGGGUGACGGCCCACCAAGGCGACGACGGGUAGCCGGCCUGAGAGGGCGACCGGCCACACUGGGACUGAGACACGGCCCAGACUCCUACGGGAGGCAGCAGUGGGGAAUAUUGCACAAUGGGCGCAAGCCUGAUGCAGCGACGCCGCGUGCGGGAUGAAGGCCUUCGGGUUGUAAACCGCUUUCAGCAGGGGCGAAUUUGACGGUACCUGCAGAAGAAGCGCCGGCUAACUACGUGCCAGCAGCCGCGGUAAUACGUAGGGCGCGAGCGUUGUCCGGAAUUAUUGGGCGUAAAGAGCUCGUAGGCGGCCUGUUGCGUCCGCUGUGAAAUCCCAGGGCUCAACCCUGGGCGUGCAGUGGAUACGGGCAGGCUGGAGGCAGGCAGGGGAGAACGGAAUUCCCGGUGUAGCGGUGAAAUGCGCAGAUAUCGGGAGGAACACCGGUGGCGAAGGCGGUUCUCUGGGCCUGUUCUGACGCUGAGGAGCGAAAGCGUGGGGAGCGAACAGGAUUAGAUACCCCCGUAGUCC
RNAcentral lists this ribosomal RNA (758 nucleotides) under uncultured bacterium. RNAcentral describes it as "bacterial SSU rRNA". It matches the Rfam family "Bacterial small subunit ribosomal RNA", at positions 8 to 796 of the family's 1533-position model. The record is from RNAcentral.